Microplitis mediator is the source of this 428-nucleotide long non-coding RNA. RefSeq lists it as uncharacterized. The transcript is spliced from 3 exons. The record is from RefSeq and is a predicted model, not a curated record. Lineage: Eukaryota; Metazoa; Arthropoda; Insecta; Hymenoptera; Braconidae.
UUACGUUUAAAAAAACAUUUAUCGCAAAAAAACAUUUAUCAUCGGAAAUGUCAAAGGACACAAUUUGUCAAUAAAUAAAAGUCAGCGAUCCGCGGAUCGGUCACAUACAAGCUUGCAGAACUCGAGAAAACAACAAUCGCUUCAAGAUAUCGAAUAAAAAAAUGUCGAAAAUAAUUUUAUUGUUAUCAAUUUUCGUAUUGGUUAUCUAUCCUGGUGUAUAUGCAGCAUGUCCUGGCGGUUGGUGCCAUCCAUCUCAAGGAUAUGGCUGUUGUGAAGGACAUACAUGCAGUAGCUAUCUGCUUCAAGGUAAAUGCAUAACAAAUCAAGAAGCCCUAGCAGUUUCAUUCGGAAGAUAAUUACAACAAUACAAUGAAGAUUUAUAAUUGUAUCUUAUGAAUUAAUAAAAAUCUCUCAUUUACCACAAAAAA